RNAcentral lists this ribosomal RNA (492 nucleotides) under uncultured bacterium. RNAcentral's name for it is "bacterial SSU rRNA". It matches the Rfam family "Bacterial small subunit ribosomal RNA", at positions 356 to 848 of the family's 1533-position model. The record is from RNAcentral.
GAGGAAUAUUGGUCAAUGGACGCAAGUCUGAACCAGCCAUGCCGCGUGCAGGAAGACGGCUCUAUGAGUUGUAAACUGCUUUUGUACGAGGGUAAACUCACCUACGUGUAGGUGACUGAAAGUAUCGUACGAAUAAGGAUCGGCUAACUCUGUGCCAGCAGCCGCGGUAAUACGGAGGAUUCAAGCGUUAUCCGGAUUUAUUGGGUUUAAAGGGUGCGUAGGCGGUUUGAUAAGUUAGAGGUGAAAUCCCGGGGCUUAACUCCGGAACUGCCUCUAAUACUGUUAGUCUAGAGAGUAGUUGCGGUAGGCGGAAUGUAUGGUGUAGCGGUGAAAUGCUUAGAGAUCAUACAGAACACCGAUUGCGAAGGCAGCUUACCCAACUAUAUCUGACGUUGAGGCACGAAAGCGUGGGGAGCAAACAGGAUUAGAUACCCUGGUAGUCCACGCAGUAAACGAUGAUAACUCGUUGUCGGCGAUACACAGUCGGUGACU